RNAcentral lists this ribosomal RNA (459 nucleotides) under uncultured bacterium. RNAcentral describes it as "partial 16S ribosomal RNA". It matches the Rfam family "Bacterial small subunit ribosomal RNA", at positions 338 to 795 of the family's 1533-position model. The record is from RNAcentral.
CCUACGGGAGGCUGCAGUGAGGAAUAUUGGUCAAUGGACGAGAGUCUGAACCAGCCAAGUAGCGUGAAGGAUGACUGCCCUAUGGGUUGUAAACUUCUUUUAUAUGGGAAUAAAAUGUUCCACGUGUGGGAUUUUGUAUGUACCAUAUGAAUAAGGAUCGGCUAACUCCGUGCCAGCAGCCGCGGUAAUACGGAGGAUGCGAGCGUUAUCCGGAUUUAUUGGGUUUAAAGGGGGCGUAGGCGGAUUUUUAAGUCAGUGGUAAAAUGUCCGGGCUCAACCUGGGACGGCCGUUGAAAAUGGGGGUCUUGAGUGGGGGUGAAGUAUGCGGAAUGCGUGGUGUAGCGGUGAAAUGCAUAGAUAUCACGCAGAACUCCGAUUGCGAAGGCAGCAUACCGGCGCCCGACUGACGCUGAUGCACGAAAGCGUGGGGAUCGAACAGGAUUAGAUACCCCAGUAGUC